Myotis lucifugus (little brown bat) is the source of this 103-nucleotide small nuclear RNA. NCBI's taxonomy places the organism in Eukaryota, Metazoa, Chordata, Mammalia, Chiroptera, Vespertilionidae. The record is from Ensembl.
GUCUCACUUCUGUAGCACAUCUACUAAAAUUGGACCAAUACAGAGAUUAGCAUGGCCACUGUGAAAGGAUGACACACAAAUUCAUGAAACAUUCCAUAAUAUU